RNAcentral lists this ribosomal RNA (501 nucleotides) under Aeromonas allosaccharophila. RNAcentral's name for it is "bacterial SSU rRNA". It matches the Rfam family "Bacterial small subunit ribosomal RNA", at positions 903 to 1405 of the family's 1533-position model. The record is from RNAcentral. Lineage: Bacteria; Pseudomonadati; Pseudomonadota; Gammaproteobacteria; Aeromonadales; Aeromonadaceae.
AGAAUUGACGGGGCCCCGCACAAGCGGUGGAGCAUGUGGUAUAAUGAGAUGCAACGAGAAGCACCUUCCCUGCCCUUCACAUGUCUGGAAUCCUGAAGAGAUGCGUGAGUCCCUUCGGGAAUCAGAACACAGGUGGCACAUGGCUGUUGUCAGCUUGUGUUGUGAGAUGUUGGGAUAAGUCCCGCAACGAGCGCAACCCCUUUCCUUUGUUCCCAGCACAUAAUGGUGGGAACUCAAGGGAGACCCCCGGUGAUAAACCGGAGGAAGGUGGGGAUGAUGUCAAGUUAUCAUGCCCCUUAUGGCCAGGGUCACACACGUGACACAAUGGCGCGCACAGAGGGCUGCAAGCUAGCGAUAGUGAGCGAAUCCCAAAAAGCGCGUCGUAGUCCGGAUCGUAGUCAGCAACUCCCCUCCGUGAAGUCGUAAUCGCUAGUAAUAGCUAAUCAGAAUGUUGCGGUGAAUAUUUUCCCGGGCCUUGCACACACCGCCGCGUCAACCCCA